UGUCAGAAUAAUGUGUAUAAAUGUAUAUAGAAGUUAUCAUUUUUUACUCACAUUCUUAUGUAAGAGUUUACUACAAGUAUGAACUGUUUUGACCUCUUGUUACACAUCAUAUAAGAGUGUUUUCUAACUUCUCUCUCCAAUAGCUUUAUUACACAGCACAUGAGUGUUUCUUCACUUUUCGGUGACCUCGUUUCUCCUAUCAGCAGGUGUGUGUGUGUGUGAUGUAUCCUCCACUGUGAAUCGUGGGAGGAUCCAAUAGCUUUAUUACACAGCACAUGAGUGUUUCUUCACUUUUCGGUGACCUCGUUUCUCCUAUCAGCAGGUGUGUGUGUGUGUGAUGUAUCCUCCACUGUGAAUCGUGGGAGGUAAUGAGGAGGAUCCGCUCCUAUCAGAAGGAGCUCGUUUGAUGCAACAAUGUCGCCUUGACCCUCAAAUAUUUUCUGUUUUUCAUAAUUAUGCUUUAUGAGAGUGCUUACGUUUGCUGCACAUAUUUUCCCCCCAUCCUUUAGAAACAUUGUGUAACCAGGGACAACCCUAAAUAAA
Xyrichtys novacula (pearly razorfish) is the source of this 543-nucleotide non-coding RNA. Lineage: Eukaryota; Metazoa; Chordata; Actinopteri; Labriformes; Labridae. The record is from the annotation of a GenBank genome assembly.